GAGAGGGAAGCUCUCACCUGCCUAUAUUCUGAGUACGCGCGAUGUGCCUGUGUUUGUGUCUCGGUGGUGUACGCCUGCGCACUGGUUUUUGCAUCGUCUGCGGACGUUUCGCCUCUAGCGGCUCUUGAGAAUGCCCUUUCGCGUGGAUGAAAGAUGGGAGGAGAGCAGGCAGAGGACAGGAUGGUGACGCGAGAGGAGCGGCCUCAGUUCUCUGAGGCCUCUUCGCAUUGCUUUAUCGCCUACUAGUAGACGACGGCUACGAUGACAUAUGAGCCGGCUUGCGCCAGGGUGGAAGGUCGAGUUUUGUGGUCGUGGUGCUGGAGAGGCGGCGCACCCUGUUCGACGUGCUCGCUGUGCCCAUAUGGCAGAUCAAUGCCGCAAGGGAAUGCAGCUGAAUGUCUGGCGUCUCUUGUGCAAGGCACACACGCGCAAACAGACAGGCACACAAUACGCACGAUGCACAGGGUAUGAUGCGUUGACAUCGACAUAGCAAUUUGCGAUUGACUCACUUCGUGAUCAUGAUACCAUUAUUUACCUUCUGAUACCCCUGAUGGGCGUGCGUGUAUGUCUGCAAGUGCGCGUGUGGAUAGGUGUGUGGCAAUGUUGCCGUUCCUCGCUUCGGAAGUGUCGGCCUGUGUCUCUUUCUCUCCCGCGGGACUCGGGGGUCAUGCUUUAUUUUUCCAAGAAAAGAGGGCUUCACGCAUGCAGCAGCCGCGCAGCGCCCCUUUUAGCAAGAAGAAAGCGCCCCACGCUGUACGUGCGUGUCUUGCAUAGGCUGACUCUGCGACAACGAAGAGAUUCAUGGGCGCAUGAGGACAACGACAUGCAACUAAUAAACAAGAACAGCAACGCACGUCGUCAUGGGGCUUUCUGGUGUGUGCGUUUUUUGUGUGCUCGUGCAUACUCCCCCCCCCGAUCACGCAGCAUCGCUGAUGCUCACACUUAUCGGUGGGUAAGCAAGAACCUUCUGAUUCACCGUGCUUUGGCGGACCAUCUCUUCCCUUGCGUUUGCGCCGCCGCCCGGCGCCCGCCUGGCCAACGAGAUGCCUCUGACGGACUGGCACAUGCGCUCCAGUCACCUUCUCCCUGCUUACUCCCUUGCCGCCUUUGCUUUUGUGCUUUUCCUGUUCUUGAUCCUCUUGCUGCCUCUCUGCAG
RNAcentral lists this unclassified non-coding RNA (1156 nucleotides) under Leishmania donovani. RNAcentral describes it as "gene:unknown". The record is from RNAcentral. Lineage: Eukaryota; Euglenozoa; Kinetoplastea; Trypanosomatida; Trypanosomatidae.